This is a long non-coding RNA of Micropterus dolomieu (smallmouth bass), 844 nucleotides long. RefSeq lists it as uncharacterized. The record is from RefSeq and is a predicted model, not a curated record. The transcript is spliced from 3 exons. Lineage: Eukaryota; Metazoa; Chordata; Actinopteri; Centrarchiformes; Centrarchidae.
CCGGCAGCUUGUGAGAAGUGCCGGCGUGCACGACAAAGUCCUGGGACGCCAAAGAGUUAGGUACCUGGUACUGCCAGAAAAAGCCUCAUCAGACAGCGUCGCUCUCUGACCUUCAGAGUCAUUAGCAGCUGUUCAUGUAUGAAGACAUAAACUCCCAUCCUGAUUGCUCUGACUGUAGCUUUCAUUUGAGAUCAGCGCUGUGCUUUACGGACAGAAAGAAAGCCUUUAAAUGCUCUGCUCCCCUCAUGUGGAACCAACCGAGACGACGGCAUCGGUCGUUUAUUCAUCCCUCCCAAAACGACAUGAGCGACGUUAUAUCAUGGAUCAAUUUUUAUGGAAUCAAAUAUCAGCAACAGGAUCCCAAAAGCAUCCGGGAAGGAAGUGAAACUAAGCAGGUAGACUUAGGAGGGGUCGGGGGGAGCGUUGUUCCAAACUUUACCUGACGGGCGGACCACAGUCUCAGACUUUAAAAACUCUGCUCUGGGCCUUUGAGGUCAGUGAAAGGAGGUGAAGCUGCGCCGCAAAGUCUGGAAAUCAUCUGGGCGUGGGAGCUGAGUCAGCUGCAGGUCCUCAGAGAUUCGGUCCCCCUUCCAGUUUAGGGACCCUGACUCUGCAUCUGUUUAGUCGUUUGAGGACGUGUUGGGAGCUUCAACUUGUUCACACUGUUAGACAGAAAUCAGGUCACUUCGGCCUGCAGUCCUUGCAGAACUGGUCUCUGUGUCAUAUUUAAAGCUCUUGUAAGUGUAGGGAUGAUUGACUGGUCACUGUGCGAAGGUAUUAUAAACUUAAAUGUUUGCUAUGUUUCUUGUUGUUGUUGCUGCUGUGACCUUUUUUUGACGCUGCU